AAUAAGAGGUUGCUAACUCUGUGCCAGCAGCAGCGGUAAUACAGAGACCUCGAGCGUUAUCCGGUUUUAUUGGGCGUAAAGCGUUCCGAAGGCGGUUAUUCAAGUCUAUGGUUACAAACCGGAGCUCAACUCCGUGUAUGCUAUGGAUACUGAAUAACUUGAAGGGCAAAGAGGUGGCUGGAACUCUGCAAGUAAGGGUGAAAUCCGUUGAUAUGCAGGGGAACACCAAAAGCGAAGGCAGGCCACUGGGUGCCUCUUGACGCUGCUAGGACGAAAGCGUGGGGAGAGAAUGGGAUUAGAUACCCCAGUAUUCCACGCCCUAAACGAUGAGUGCUUGCUAUUAGACAGCUCAACCCUGUUUAGUGGCGAAGCUAACGCAUUAAGCACUCCGCCUGUAUAGUACGAGCGCAAGCUUAAAACAUAAAGGAAUUGACGGGAACCCGCACAAGCAGUGGAUCAUGUGGCUUAAUUCGAUAGUGAGCGAGGAACCUCACCUAGGCUUGACAUGUAGAUGCAAAUCUUCUGAAAGGAAGACUCCUUCGAGGGUUCUACACAGGUGAUGCACGGUCGUCGUCAGCUCGUGUCGUGAGAUGUUCGGUUAAGUCCGGUAACGAGCGCAACCCCAAUCCUUAUUUAUUUAAUGUAUAAGGAGACAGCCUGAGUUUAAUCAGGAGGAAGGCUGGGAUGACGUCAGAUCUGCGUGUCCCUUAUGUCUAGGGCGGCACACAUGAUACAAUGGGUAGAGUACAACGGGACAGCGACAGAGUGAUCUUGAGCAAAUCCUAUCAAAACUCCCCUCAGUUCGGAUCGAAGUCUGCAACUCGACUUCGUGAAGCUGGAAUUG
This 844-nucleotide ribosomal RNA is filed under the name uncultured Parcubacteria group bacterium. RNAcentral describes it as "bacterial SSU rRNA". It matches the Rfam family "Bacterial small subunit ribosomal RNA", at positions 485 to 1334 of the family's 1533-position model. The record is from RNAcentral.